This 468-nucleotide ribosomal RNA is filed under the name uncultured bacterium. RNAcentral's name for it is "partial 16S ribosomal RNA". It matches the Rfam family "Bacterial small subunit ribosomal RNA", at positions 28 to 507 of the family's 1533-position model. The record is from RNAcentral.
GACGAACGCUGGCGGCGUGCUUAACACAUGCAAGUCGAACGGAAAGGCCCUGCUUUUGUGGGGUGCUCGAUUGGCGAACGCGUGAGUAACACGUGAGUAUCCUGCCCUUGACUUUGGGAUAACUUCAGGAAACUGGGGCUAAUACCGGAUAGGAUCUCUUGCUGCAUGGUGGGGGUUGGAGAGUGUCGGCGGUUGUGGAUGGACUCGCGGCUUAUCAGCUGGUUGGUGAGGUAGUUGCUUACCAAGGUUUUGACGGGUAGCCGGCAUGGGAGGGUGACCGGCCACAUGGGGACUGAGAGACGGCCCAGACUCCUACGGGCGGCAGCGGUGGGGAAUAUUGCACAAUGGGCGGAAGCCUGAUGCAGCAACGCCGCGUGCGGGAUGACGGCCUUCGGGUUGUAAACCGCUUUCGCCUGUGACGAAGCGUGAGUGACGGUAAUGGGUAAAGAAGCACCGGCUAACUACGUG